This 339-nucleotide RNase P RNA is filed under the name human gut metagenome. RNAcentral's name for it is "Bacterial RNase P class A". It matches the Rfam family "Bacterial RNase P class A". Rfam says of the family: Ribonuclease P (RNase P) is a ubiquitous endoribonuclease, found in archaea, bacteria and eukarya as well as chloroplasts and mitochondria. Its best characterised activity is the generation of mature 5'-ends of tRNAs by cleaving the 5'-leader elements of precursor-tRNAs. The record is from RNAcentral.
GCGAGCUGGACAGCCGCGCGGGCAGGUCGAAAGGCCGUCCGUGAGGAAAGUCCGGGCUCCAUAGGGCAAGGAUAACGGGUAACGCCCGCCGAAGGCGACUUCAGGACAAGUGCAACAGAGAGAUACCGCCCAGGUCCUCCUGGGUAAGGGUGGAAAGGUGAGGUAAGAGCUCACCCGCCGGCGUGGAAGCGUCCGGUGCUGUAAACUCUAUCCGGAGCAACACCGUGGAGGGGAAGACGACCGGCCCGGUCUCCCCGAGGAGGUGGCUGGAGCGUACCGGCAACGGUGCGCCUAGAUAGAUGGCUGUCGAAGACAGAACCCGGCUUAUAGGCUCACUUG